This 205-nucleotide ribosomal RNA is filed under the name uncultured bacterium. RNAcentral describes it as "partial 16S ribosomal RNA". It matches the Rfam family "Bacterial small subunit ribosomal RNA", at positions 1299 to 1500 of the family's 1533-position model. The record is from RNAcentral.
UGUAGUCUGCAACCCGACUACACGAAGCUGGAAUCGCUAGUAAUCGCGGAUCAGAAUGCCGCGGUGAAUACGUUCCCGGGUCUUGUACACACCGCCCGUCACACCAUGGGAGUCAGUAACGCCCGAAGCCGGUGACCCAACCUAUUCUGGAGGGAGCCGUCGAAGGCGGGACGGAUGACUGGGGGUGAAGUCGUAACAAGGUACC